GGAGCCGUACCUGAAAUAUAAGGACCACUUUGAUAGAGUGAAACACGUGGGUUAAAGUCCCUCCGGCCCCU
This 71-nucleotide transfer RNA is filed under the name Trichiurus brevis (Chinese short-tailed hairtail). RNAcentral describes it as "tRNA-Ile". It matches the Rfam family "tRNA". From Rfam's summary of the family: Transfer RNA (tRNA) molecules are approximately 80 nucleotides in length. Their secondary structure includes four short double-helical elements and three loops (D, anti-codon, and T loops). The record is from RNAcentral. Lineage: Eukaryota; Metazoa; Chordata; Actinopteri; Scombriformes; Trichiuridae.